This 28-nucleotide non-coding RNA is filed under the name Homo sapiens (human). Lineage: Eukaryota; Metazoa; Chordata; Mammalia; Primates; Hominidae. The record is from RNAcentral.
UAGGGGUGAUGGUGAGUGGUACCACUUC